UUAAGAAAAUCAACUACUUUUCCGACCUUGUAAGAUCAAAAAAUCUUAGCCCAAGUAGAAUUUGAAGUAUCCAAAGUUGAAAAACUUGACUAAAAACUUAUUGAAAUGAAUCGCACCGAUUGAUUAAAACAACUCGAACCUUCGAGUUGAUCGAUUCUCAACUACAUUAAUGCCGAUUCAAUUGGGACAAGAGGCUAAUUGGUUUCGAAACAACUUUCCAUUGAACCGGAGAGUAGCUUUUGUUUUGAUCCUAGCCAAUAAAGAUUUCUUAGCAACUGUCCAUAAUGCCAAGGUUAUGGCCUAGACUGGUGAGAUCAACAACUUGCAAACGGAAUUGGUGGCUUCUUUCUCUGUAAACCUUAGCCGACCAUCCAUCAUUCCAUUCAUCCAUCUAUCCAUCCAUAAACUCUCCAUUUCCUGUUCACGCCAUCUUCAGGCAUCGGACCAGGCACCACUCGAGAUCUCGAUAUAUUUUUUCUUCCCAUUUUAUUGUCGUCAGUGGAUCUCCGCGAUCCUCCUCCAUCCACCAAGUACACGUAAAUGAACUCGACUGCCACACAGCCGCUGCCUGGAAAGCUGGUUGAAAAGGUGAGUUGGUUCGAUGAAGGAGCUUCCGAACCAUCCAUUCACAUUCAUUCUCCAUCCACUUGGUUCAUGAGGAUUGUCGUUGGUUCUAGAACGUCUGCCAUCAUCGAGAGCUCUGCGAAACAAAGAGCCGUGAUCUUCUCACCUUGACAAAAAUGAUAUCGUAUCGGGUUGAGACAGCCGAAGGCUUUGGACUGAAACCAUUUUGUGCUCUACUUACUGUACUACAGUGGCUGAUAUCUGUAUGGCCAAGGUAAUGCUCCAAAGGACACCCAAGUGACCAUUGCCACUUAUUGCACGUAAAUGCAGUGAAGCUUUCCGAGGAAAGGCAAUCUUUUAGCCAUCAAGCCAAUAAGCAAGAACCCGACUCAGCCAAGUGUACCGUUGGAUAACCACUCACCUCAACCAUCAAUUCUUUCGAAAGCCAACCGCUAUCUGAUUCGAUUGGAUUGGCAGAGCAAUCAUCAUUUUAAGUUAUCGCCUUAUUUGAGCAAGUUGGAGAAAAUCGCCUUCAUCUACGUAAGCCAGUCAGCCAGGAGCUUUUUGUUUUGCCCGGUGCUCGAGAAGUGAGCCCUCCGGGUUGAUCCUAUUGGGUUGGACAAUGGUUUCCUGACGCCCCCAACACAAACUCAAACACACGCCACAAAACAAGCACUGACAAGAAGCUCUUGCCAUUCCUUUACUUCUUCCUGAUAUCGACAUUGAUUUACGCCUUGCUCGCUCAUUAUUUACUCCAUGCCUAUUCGUGCCAUCCAAAGACCAAAGGGCCCCCCAAGGAUAAAAGACGAAACUUCGAUGAUUAUUUCCCACAGUGGACCAAGUUCGAGUGGAAGUUGAGCUACUUGCCAUGGCUUCCCCGGAAGCUGGAUAUGAACGAGACAUCCCCCGCGAUAGAGAGACAGAGAGGAUCCAGGUGGGGCUCAAAACCUGGUUGGCGUUGUCAGUGUUUCCCCUCUGAAGCGAUAGCAUGAUCAUGAGGAGGAUGGCGACGUGUGACGAUGAGGCAACACACGGCGAAGACGAAAAUCUAGUUCAGGUAAGACGAGCCCCAAAAACUGACGGAAAGGUAGCGACUUGCCAGCUCCUCAACAUGGUUUUGGGUUGGGCUUGUUUGGUUCGCGUAAAAUAUUUCUCAAUCCGCUCGACGUCCCGCCAAUGGCCGUUGGCAACAUCCCGGUCGGAGACUCUGUCAC
Tigriopus californicus is the source of this 1778-nucleotide long non-coding RNA. RefSeq lists it as uncharacterized. NCBI's taxonomy places the organism in Eukaryota, Metazoa, Arthropoda, Copepoda, Harpacticoida, Harpacticidae. The transcript is spliced from 5 exons. The record is from RefSeq and is a predicted model, not a curated record.